GAUGAACGCUGGCGGCGUGCCUAAUACAUGCAAGUCGAGCGAACGGACGAGGAGCUUGCUUUUCUGAUGUUAUCGGCGGACGGGUGAUUAACACGUGGAUAACCUACCUAUCAGACUGGGAUAACUUCGGGAAACCGGAGCUAAUACCGGAUAAUAUUUUGAACCGCAUUGUUCAAAAGUGAAAGACGGUCUUGCUGUCACUUAUAGAUGGAUCCGCGCUGCAUUAGCUAGUUGGUAAGGUAACGGCUUACCAAGGCAACGAUGCAUAGCCGACCUGAGAGGGUCAUUGGCCACACUGUAACUGAGACAGGGCCGAGACACCUACAGGAGGAAGCAGUAGGGAAUCCUACGCAAUGCGCGAAAGCGGGACGGAGCAACGCCGCGUGAGGGAUGAAGGUCUUCGGAUCGGUGAACGAUGAUAGUAGGGGAGAACAUAUGUGUAAGUAACUGUGCACAUCUUGACGGUACCGAAUCAGAAAGCCACGGCUAACUCCGUG
Molecule: ribosomal RNA, 497 nt
Filed under: uncultured bacterium
Lineage: Bacteria
Description: partial 16S ribosomal RNA
Rfam family: Bacterial small subunit ribosomal RNA
Source: RNAcentral